This 800-nucleotide ribosomal RNA is filed under the name soil bacterium SI20. RNAcentral describes it as "bacterial SSU rRNA". It matches the Rfam family "Bacterial small subunit ribosomal RNA", at positions 41 to 857 of the family's 1533-position model. The record is from RNAcentral.
CGCGUGCUUAAACAUGCAAGUCGAACGGUGAAGCCCUUCGGGGUGGAUCAGUGGCGAACGGGUGAGUAACACGUGGGGAAUCUGCCCUGAACUCUGGGACAAGCCUUGGAAACGAGGUCUAAUACCGGAUACGACCUUCUCCUGCAUGGGGGUUGGUGGAAAGCUCCGGCGGUUCAGGAUGAUCCCGCGGCCUAUCAGCUUGUUGGUGGGGUAAUGGCCUACCAAGGCGACGACGGGUAGCCGGCCUGAGAGGGCGACCGGCCACACUGGGACUGAGACACGGCCCAGACUCCUACGGGAGGCAGCAGUGGGGAAUAUUGCACAAUGGGCGAAAGCCUGAUGCAGCGACGCCGCGUGAGGGAUGACGGCCUUCGGGUUGUAAACCUCUUUCAGCAGGGAAGAAGCGCAAGUGACGGUACCUGCAGAAGAAGCACCGGCUAACUACGUGCCAGCAGCCGCGGUAAUACGUAGGGUGCGAGCGUUGUCCGGAAUUAUUGGGCGUAAAGAGCUCGUAGGCGGCCUGUCGCGUCGGAUGUGAAAGCCCGGGGCUUAACCCCGGGUCUGCAUUCGAUACGGGCAGGCUAGAGUGUGGUAGGGGAGAUCGGAAUUCCUGGUGUAGCGGUGAAAUGCGCAGAUAUCAGGAGGAACACCGGUGGCGAAGGCGGAUCUCUGGGCCAUUACUGACGCUGAGGAGCGAAAGCGUGGGGAGCGAACAGGAUUAGAUACCCUGGUAGUCCACGCCGUAAACGUUGGGAACUAGGUGUUGGCGACAUUCCACGUCGUCGGUGCCGCAGCUAACG